Molecule: long non-coding RNA, 469 nt
Organism: Artibeus jamaicensis (Jamaican fruit-eating bat)
Lineage: Eukaryota; Metazoa; Chordata; Mammalia; Chiroptera; Phyllostomidae
Exons: 3
Source: RefSeq, a predicted model, not a curated record
CCUUCUGCUGUCUGGGGAUCUUGGGGACAUACGAAAUUUAAAGAGAAGUCAUAAAACAGUAAUAAUAUUGUGUGCACUUCAUUUAUAUCAUCUGUAUAAUUAUUUCACAAAAUGAAGAUUUGAAAGUCAAGUGAUGUUAGUGAACCUCUAUUCCAGAAAAAAGAAGAAAAAGAAUUAGCAAUCUUUCAACAAGAGAAAAAUUUGGAGGACAAAUACCCAGUCUUCUCAAGAAUGGAGCCAGACAUCAGUACCGAAAGAGUAAAGUGGUCUGAGGCUUGUGCUUCUGGGCAGCGACACCUCGAAGCUCCCCUGGCCCCCGCAAGGCCCUGCUGCGAUUCAAGGGUGUCUGGUAUCUGACGCUGCCCGGAGGGCUCUGACCGUCGUCUGUUGAAUUAGAACACGAGAGAGCGCUCCUAUACAAAGAAUAACUAUGUACAGACACCCGGGAAGCAACUGGAAAAAGCAACCG